This 373-nucleotide ribosomal RNA is filed under the name uncultured organism. RNAcentral's name for it is "partial 16S ribosomal RNA". It matches the Rfam family "Bacterial small subunit ribosomal RNA", at positions 527 to 896 of the family's 1533-position model. The record is from RNAcentral.
GUAGGUCCCGAGCGUUGUCCGGAUUUAUUGGGCGUAAAGCGAGCGCAGGCGGUUAGAUAAGUCUGAAGUUAAAGGCUGUGGCUUAACCAUAGUACGCUUUGGAAACUGUUUAACUUGAGUGCAAGAGGGGAGAGUGGAAUUCCAUGUGUAGCGGUGAAAUGCGUAGAUAUAUGGAGGAACACCGGUGGCGAAAGCGGCUCUCUGGCUUGUAACUGACGCUGAGGCUCGAAAGCGUGGGGAGCAAACAGGGAUUAGAUACCCUGGUAGUCCACGCCGUAAACGAUGAGUGCUAGGUGUUAGACCCCUUUCCGGGGUUUAGUGCCCGCAGCUAACGCAUUAAGCACUCCGCCUGGGGAGUACGACCGCAAGGUUG